RNAcentral lists this ribosomal RNA (441 nucleotides) under uncultured Glomus. Its description in RNAcentral is "SSU rRNA". It matches the Rfam family "Eukaryotic small subunit ribosomal RNA", at positions 659 to 1098 of the family's 1831-position model. The record is from RNAcentral. Lineage: Eukaryota; Fungi; Glomeromycota; Glomeromycetes; Glomerales; Glomeraceae.
UGGUCAUGCCACUGGUAUGUACUGGUCUCACUGAUUCCUCCUUCCUGAUGAGCCGUAAUGCCAUUAAUUUGGUGUUGCGAGGAAUCUGGACUGUUACUUUGAAAAAAUUAGAGUGUUUAAAGCAGGCUAACGCUUGAAUACAUUAGCAUGGAAUAAUGAAAUAGGACGUUCGAUCUUAUUUUGUUGGUUUCUAAGAUUGACGUAAUGAUUAAUAGGGAUAGUUGGGGGCAUUAGUAUUCAAUUGUCAGAGGUGAAAUUCUUGGAUUUAUUGAAGACUAACUACUGCGAAAGCAUUUGCCAAGGAUGUUUUCAUUAAUCAAGAACGAAAGUUAGGGGAUCGAAGACGAUCAGAUACCGUCGUAGUCUUAACCAUAAACUAUGUCGACUAGGGAUCGGAUGAUGUUAAUUUUUUAAUGACUCGUUCGGCGCCUUACGGGAAAC